Molecule: ribosomal RNA, 253 nt
Filed under: uncultured bacterium
Lineage: Bacteria
Description: partial 16S ribosomal RNA
Rfam family: Bacterial small subunit ribosomal RNA
Source: RNAcentral
UACGUAGGGUGCGAGGGUUGCCCGGAUUUAUUGGGCGUAAAGGGCGCGUAGGCGGCCACGCACGUCCGUUGUGAAAUCGCCCGGCUCAACUGGGCGGGGUCGGCGGAUACGGCGUGGCUGGAGCAAGCUAGGGGGCAAUGGAAUUCCCGGUGUAGUGGUGGAAUGCGUAGAUAUCGGGAGGAACACCAGUGGCGAAGGCGGUUGCCUGGAGCUUUGCUGACGCUGAGGCGCGAAAGCGUGGGGAGCGAUCCGG